CCCUUUUCUGUUUACAAAAUGCAGAAAAAGCAAAUGGUCAUUCUUCUGAGUUGCAAGCUGGAGCAACUCCAAUUUUCUGUCAAAUUGGAAUCACUUGAAA
This is a long non-coding RNA of Ipomoea triloba (trilobed morning glory), 100 nucleotides long. RefSeq lists it as uncharacterized. The transcript is spliced from 2 exons. The record is from RefSeq and is a predicted model, not a curated record. NCBI's taxonomy places the organism in Eukaryota, Viridiplantae, Streptophyta, Magnoliopsida, Solanales, Convolvulaceae.